RNAcentral lists this small RNA (819 nucleotides) under Pongo abelii (Sumatran orangutan). RNAcentral describes it as "retained intron". Lineage: Eukaryota; Metazoa; Chordata; Mammalia; Primates; Hominidae. The record is from RNAcentral.
CCUUCAGCACCACCCAGCUAUGCAGAAGUGGUAACAGAGGAACAAAGGCGGAACAAUCUUGCACCAGUGAGUGCUUGUGAUGACUUUGAGAGAGCGCUUCAAGGACCACUGUUUGCAUAUAUCCAGGAGUUUCGGUUCUUGCCUCCACCUCUUUAUUCAGAGAUUGACCCAAAUCCUGAUCAGUCAGCAGAUGAUAGACCAUCCUGCCCCUCUCGUUGAAGGAACACUUGGUUGAAUCAAGUUGAUGUGAGUUCCGAACUGUAUCUCUUCCGGCUGAGGACAGAGAAGUAUCUUGGAGACACGUUUCAGAGGAAGUGGAAUUGCUUUUGCCCAGAAACAUGGCGAAUACAUGAAACAACCAGUGAUCAUGCUUUAGAAGCCUACAGCAACAUUCUGGGACUGCUCCAACAUGCUUGAAGAUCUAAGCUUUUCUCUUUUAAAACUGGCACAUACUCAGAGCAGUCUUCUUAGCCUAUGGUCGUACGUGUCAAGACAUCACAUUGUAAAGAGGGAUGAUUUCCUUCUUUUGAUUUGAAAAUUUGCACAUGCUCAAUGCUUACAUUGUGCAGUUCGAUGUCACUACAGCUUCUUUUUUUUUUUUUUUUUUUUUUUUUUGCCAGACUCUUGAUACUCUUAAAACUUGUUUGUGGUCAGCACAACAAGGAACAAAACAAAGCUUUGAAAAAACUUUAACAUGAAAAAACGCACUGACAUUUUUUUUUUAUUUAAUAUAGCCUGGACUUUACCUGCGUAUGCACAUGCUCAGAAUUGUCUACUAGGCUGACCAUGUAUCACCUCUUCAGCUUGGAUCCAGUUGUG